GACGAACGCUGGCGGCGUGCUUAACACAUGCAAGUCGAACGGAAAGGCCCUGCUUUUGUGGGGUGCUCGAGUGGCGAACGGGUGAGUAACACGGGAGUAACCUGCCCUUGACUUUGGGAUAACUUCAGGAAACUGGGGCUAAUACCGGAUAGGAGCUCCUGCUGCAUGGUGGGGGUUGGAAAGUUUCGGCGGUUGGGGAUGGACUCGCGGCUUAUCAGCUUGUUGGUGGGGUAGUGGCCUACCAAGGCGUUGACGGGUAGCCGGCCUGAGAGGGUGACCGGCCACAUUGGGACUGAGAUACGGCCCAGACUCCUACGGGAGGCAGCAGUGGGGAAUAUUGCACAAUGGGCGGAAGCCUGAUGCAGCAACGCCGCGUGCGGGAUGACGGCCUUCGGGUUGUAAACCGCUUUCGCCUGUGACGAAGCGUGAGUGACGGUAAUGGGUAAAGAAGCACCGGCUAACUACGUG
RNAcentral lists this ribosomal RNA (468 nucleotides) under uncultured bacterium. Its description in RNAcentral is "partial 16S ribosomal RNA". It matches the Rfam family "Bacterial small subunit ribosomal RNA", at positions 28 to 507 of the family's 1533-position model. The record is from RNAcentral.